This is a long non-coding RNA of Mycetomoellerius zeteki, 283 nucleotides long. RefSeq lists it as uncharacterized. Lineage: Eukaryota; Metazoa; Arthropoda; Insecta; Hymenoptera; Formicidae. The record is from RefSeq and is a predicted model, not a curated record. The transcript has 3 exons.
AAUGAAGAAUUUAACAUGAAUGAUGAACGUAAUACGAAUGGUAUUGAAAAUGUUCGAGAUGUGACAAAUGAAGCAAAUACACAAGAUAGAUGCCAUAAUACUAGAUGCUGUGUGGUACAUGCCGUGCCACACAACAAAUCAUAAUCAAACAGUUACAGAAAAAUGAAAAGAAGCUAAAUUUAUUGAUAAAUUUAGCAAAAAAUCCACUAGUUGCUGAUGCAAUUGAAUAUGAAAAAGGAUUAAUACCCGAGUUUCCUUUAACGAGCUUGGAUGAUUUAUUAAA